RNAcentral lists this small RNA (132 nucleotides) under Escherichia coli. RNAcentral describes it as "RtT sRNA". It matches the Rfam family "RtT RNA". Rfam says of the family: This family represents a bacterial cis-regulatory element known as RtT RNA. The exact function of RtT is unknown although it is thought that it may be involved in changing the cellular response in relation to amino acid starvation. Lineage: Bacteria; Pseudomonadati; Pseudomonadota; Gammaproteobacteria; Enterobacterales; Enterobacteriaceae. The record is from RNAcentral.
AUUCUGCCCAUGCGGGGAAGGAUGAGAAGCUUCGACCAAGGUUCGACUCGAGCGCCAGCGGGAGAGCGUUGCCGCAGGCAACGACCCGAAGGGCGAAGCGCGCAGCGCUGAGUAAUCCUUCCCCCACCACCA